This is a long non-coding RNA of Pezoporus occidentalis (night parrot), 761 nucleotides long. RefSeq lists it as uncharacterized. The record is from RefSeq and is a predicted model, not a curated record. Lineage: Eukaryota; Metazoa; Chordata; Aves; Psittaciformes; Psittacidae. The transcript is spliced from 3 exons.
GUCCCUUUCAACCCAAACUAUUUGUGAUUAUCAACACAACGUGGGGUUUUAUAAGCUACAGAGGCAGUAAGCUGUUUGUGGGCUGAGUGGGGCAGAAGUGCUCUGACUCUGCAUCUAAACACUUGUAAAGAAUGUUGGGGCAUGUGCAGAAUACCUACUCCUUCUUUUGCUAAUGAACGGAAAAGUGGAAAGAGAACAGUGGGAUGAGAAAAGUCCUGCCAGCUCCAUUGAUAGAGUCCGUAGCACUCCAUGAGUAGGUACAAAAUUAAGGUAGUCUUUUUCCUCUGAAUCUUUGAUGGAAAAGUAUCAGAUCGCUACAUACAUUUGAAGUAAAUGGAAAUGACAGUGAAUUAGUUCAUAACAUUCUGCUGUUUUAUUUCAUGCCAUUUUUUUAAACCCUGAAACCCACAUGCAAAGCUAUAUUUGAUUUAGGGGCUUUAUAAUCACAGCUAGAUGAGUAGCUGAAAGUGUGGUGCAGAGCAGUCCCAGAAGCAGUCUGUGGUUGAGGAUGUCCCUCAGCUGCUGGUUGCAGGAUACUAAGAGGGCUUACAUUUUUUUUGUCCCCCUAAUACUGACCAUGAAAGCUUGCAGAUUGAAAGCUGUUUGCUUAAACCCAGCCCAGACUCUGAAGAUGAACUGGUGAGACACAAAUAGAAUGUGAUCAAGAAGCAAAGAAGGCAGAAAAGAAAGAAGACAAGAAGAAAGGCUUUGUAAUGUUGUGUAUAAGCAGAACCAGGAAACUUUCUUCUGUCAACAUGGAA